Molecule: ribosomal RNA, 1245 nt
Filed under: uncultured Oceanospirillaceae bacterium
Lineage: Bacteria; Pseudomonadati; Pseudomonadota; Gammaproteobacteria; Oceanospirillales; Oceanospirillaceae
Description: bacterial SSU rRNA
Rfam family: Bacterial small subunit ribosomal RNA
Source: RNAcentral
UUAUACAUGCAAGUCGGACGGAAACGAUGAUAGCUUGCUAUCAGGCGUCGAGCGGCGGACGGGUGAGUAACGCGUAGGAACCUACCUAAUAGAUUGGGAUAGCCAUUGGAAACGAUGAUUAAUACCGAAUACGCCCUACGGGGGAAAGCAGAGGACCUUCGGGCUUUGCGCUAUUAGAUGGGCCUGCGUGAGAUUAGAUUGUUGGUGAGGUAAUGGCUCACCAAGUCCACGAUCUCUAGCUGGUCUGAGAGGAUGAUCAGCCACACUGGAACUGAGACACGGUCCAGACUCCUACGGGAGGCAGCAGUGGGGAAUAUUGCACAAUGGGCGCAAGCCUGAUGCAGCCAUGCCGCGUGUGUGAAGAAGGCUCUAGGGUUGUAAAGCACUUUCAGUCGGGAGGAAAGAUUAGUAGUUAAUACCUGCUAGUUGUGACGUUACCGACAGAAGAAGCACCGGCUAACUCCGUGCCAGCAGCCGCGGUAAUACGGAGGGCGCAAGCGUUAAUCGGAAUUACUGGGCGUAAAGCGUACGUAGGUGGUUUGUUAAGUUGGAUGUGAAAGCCCAGGGCUCAACCUUGGAACUGCAUUCAAAACUGAUGAACUAGAGUAUGGUAGAGGUAAGUGGAAUUUCCUGUGUAGCGGUGAAAUGCGUAGAGAUGGGAAGGAACAUCAGUGGCGAAGGCGACUUACUGGACUAAUACUGACACUGAGGUACGAAAGCGUGGGUAGCAAACAGGAUUAGAUACCCUGGUAGUCCACGCCGUAAACGAUGUCUACUAGCCGUUGGGGUCCUUGAGACUUUAGUGGCGCAGCUAACGCACUAAGUAGACCGCCUGGGGAGUACGGUCGCAAGAUUAAAACUCAAAUGAAUUGACGGGGGCCCGCACAAGCGGUGGAGCAUGUGGUUUAAUUCGAAGCAACGCGAAGAACCUUACCUACUCUUGACAUCCAUAGAACUUUUUCAGAGAUGAAUUGGUGCCUUCGGGAACUAUGAGACAGGUGCUGCAUGGCUGUCGUCAGCUCGUGUUGUGAAAUGUUGGGUUAAGUCCCGUAACGAGCGCAACCCUUGCCCUUAGUUGCCAUCAUUUAGUUGGGGACUCUAAGGGGACUGCCGGUGACAAACCGGAGGAAGGCGGGGACGACGUCAAGUCAUCAUGGCCCUUACGAGUAGGGCUACACACGUGCUACAAUGGCCAGUACAAACGGUUGCAAUGUCGCGAGGCGGAGCUAAUCUGAGAAAGCUGGU